Molecule: long non-coding RNA, 649 nt
Organism: Eriocheir sinensis (Chinese mitten crab)
Lineage: Eukaryota; Metazoa; Arthropoda; Malacostraca; Decapoda; Varunidae
Exons: 5
Source: RefSeq, a predicted model, not a curated record
AUGGUUACAGUGACGCUUGGAUACUAGCCAAGAAGCAGUGUACAACGCAACAUCUUGUGAAGACCAUGGACCAAGGUGGGGUGCGAAUGAUCGGACUGCAGGAAUGUGGGCGACCUCAAACGGCCCAACGGCUCGGAGACGUUCCUGCUGAUCCCGAAGGCAUGGUGGGCGUAAAACUGGUCGGACGGAGAAACUUUGCUCCUCUUGAAAAGGUUGUAGUGGUGGGGAGGGACAGUAUUCGCCAACUGAGAUGUCGUAGUGCUUUAUCAUGUCCCCCAGCUGUUGUAAUCACUUCAGCCCACUUGGCGGCCAUUAAAGCUGCUGCCCAACAGGCGGGUGGAGAAGUCUCCCUUCGCAGAGCAAAAGAAUCCCAAAAGGUCGCUGUGCAGUCCUUAAAGGAGAGAGAAGAGCGGCAGCGCCACCACAAGCAUCUAGAGAAAGAACAUUGCCGAAGGAGACACCAAACAGAGUUGCAAAGAUUAGAUGACAUGCUGGAGGAUUCAUCUAGAAGAAAUGGAGAAAGUUCGGAGAUUAAACCUUUUCAGCGUGAAAAUCUAUAAUCCGAAGAGGAGGUAAAAGCAAUGCGAAAACUAGUUCUGGCUGCAAAAUGUCACGCCAUACGGGAAGCGCAGAUUUUAGAGAAGAGGCA